Molecule: ribosomal RNA, 409 nt
Filed under: bacterium
Lineage: Bacteria
Description: partial 16S ribosomal RNA
Rfam family: Bacterial small subunit ribosomal RNA
Source: RNAcentral
UGGGGAAUAUUGCACAAUGGGCGAAAGCCUGAUGCAGCGACGCCGCGUGAGGGAUGACGGCCUUCGGGUUGUAAACCUCUUUCAGUAGGGACGAAGCGCAAGUGACGGUACCUGCAGAAGAAGCACCGGCUAACUACGUGCCAGCAGCCGCGGUAAUACGUAGGGUGCGAGCGUUGUCCGGAAUUACUGGGCGUAAAGAGCUCGUAGGCGGUUUGUCACGUCGUCUGUGAAAUCCUAGGGCUUAACCCUGGACGUGCAGGCGAUACGGGCUGACUUGAGUACUACAGGGGAGACUGGAAUUUCUGGUGUAGAGGUGGAAUACACAGAUAUCAGGAAGAACACCGAUGGCGAAGGCAGGUCUCUGGGUAGUAACUGACGCUGAGGAGCGAAAGCAUGGGUAGCGAACAGG